CAAAGCAUAGUUUAAUAAGAAUACUAGCAUUGGAAGUUAGAGAUUGGCACCGUCGUCAUGCUUUGA
This 66-nucleotide transfer RNA is filed under the name Cerithidea tonkiniana. Its description in RNAcentral is "tRNA-Pro". Lineage: Eukaryota; Metazoa; Mollusca; Gastropoda; Potamididae. The record is from RNAcentral.